RNAcentral lists this ribosomal RNA (484 nucleotides) under uncultured bacterium. RNAcentral describes it as "bacterial SSU rRNA". It matches the Rfam family "Bacterial small subunit ribosomal RNA", at positions 38 to 518 of the family's 1533-position model. The record is from RNAcentral.
GGCGGCGUGCCUAACACAUGCAAGUCGAACGAGAAUUUACGAAUUGAUUCUUCGGAAUGACGUUGUAAAGGAAAGUGGCGGACGGGCGAGUAACGCGUGAAUAACCUGCCCAUAAGAGGGGGAUAAUCCAUGGAAACGUGGACUAAUACCGCAUAUUGAGUGGAAAUCGCAUGGUUUUUACUUGAAAGAUUUUAUCGCUUAUGGAUGGAUUCGCGUCAGAUUAGCUAGUUGGUGAGGUAACGGCUCACCAAGGCGACGAUCUGUAGCCGAACUGAGAGGUUGAUCGGCCGCAUUGGGACUGAGACACGGCCCAGACUCCUACGGGAGGCAGCAGUGGGGAAUAUUGCGCAAUGGGGGCAACCCUGACGCAGCCAACGCCGCGUGCAGGAAGAAGGUCUUCGGAUUGUAAACUGUUGUCGCAAGGGAAGAAGACAGUGACGGUACCUUGUGAGAAAGUCACGGCUAACUACGUGCCAGCAGCUGC